AGGCGGAGGUUCCAGGUAAAUCCGGUACCUUUUUAACGCUGAGGUGUGAUGACGAGGCACUACGGUGCUGAAGUAACAAAUGCCCUGCUUCCAGGAAAAGCCUCUAAGCAUCAGGUAACACGAAAUCGUACCCCAAACCGACACAGGUGGUCAGGUAGAGAAUACCAAGGCGCUUGAGAGAACUCGGGUGAAGGAACUAGGCAAAAUGGUGCCGUAACUUCGGGAGAAGGCACGCUGAUAUGUAGGUGAAG
RNAcentral lists this ribosomal RNA (251 nucleotides) under Listeria monocytogenes. Its description in RNAcentral is "partial 23S ribosomal RNA". It matches the Rfam family "Bacterial large subunit ribosomal RNA", at positions 1522 to 1767 of the family's 2925-position model. The record is from RNAcentral. Lineage: Bacteria; Bacillati; Bacillota; Bacilli; Caryophanales; Listeriaceae.